ACACGUGAGGAAUCUGCCUUCAACACUGGGAUAACUCCGGGAAACCGGGGCUAAUACCGGAUACGAGCUCUGAUCGCAUUAUCGGGGCUGGAAAGUUUUUCGGUUGAAGAUGACCUCGCGGCCUAUCAGCUUGUUGGUGAGGUAAUGGCUCACCAAGGCGACGACGGGUAGCCGGCCUGAGAGGGCGACCGGCCACACUGGGACUGAGACACGGCCCAGACUCCUACGGGAGGCAGCAGUGGGGAAUAUUGGGCAAUGGAGGAAACUCUGACCCAGCGACGCCGCGUGCGGGAUGAAGGCCUUCGGGUUGUAAACCGCUUUCAGUAGGGAAGAAGCGAAAGUGACGGUACCUACAGAAGAAGCACCGGCUAACUAUGUGCCAGCAGCCGCGGUAAUACAUAGGGUGCAAGCGUUGUCCGGAAUUAUUGGGCGUAAAGAGCUCGUAGGUGGUUUGAUACGUCGGGUGUGAAAUUCAGGGGCUCAACCCCUGACCUGCAUUCGAUACGGUCAAGCUGGAGUUUGGUAGGGGAGACUGGAAUUCCUGGUGUAGCGGUGGAAUGCGCAGAUAUCAGGAGGAACACCGAUGGCGAAGGCAGGUCUCUGGGCCAAUACUGACACUGAGGAGCGAAAGCGUGGGGAGCGAACAGGAUUAGAUACCCUGGUAGUCCACGCCGUAAAC
RNAcentral lists this ribosomal RNA (679 nucleotides) under uncultured bacterium. RNAcentral's name for it is "bacterial SSU rRNA". It matches the Rfam family "Bacterial small subunit ribosomal RNA", at positions 113 to 807 of the family's 1533-position model. The record is from RNAcentral.